Molecule: unclassified non-coding RNA, 496 nt
Filed under: uncultured Glomus
Lineage: Eukaryota; Fungi; Glomeromycota; Glomeromycetes; Glomerales; Glomeraceae
Description: bacterial SSU rRNA
Rfam family: Eukaryotic small subunit ribosomal RNA
Source: RNAcentral
CCAAUAGCGUAUAUUAAAGUUGCUGCAGUUAAAAAGCUCGUAGUUGAAUUUCGGGACUAAUAUGUCGGUCGUGCCUCGGUACGUACUGGUAUUUUUGGUUUCUCCCUUCUGACGAACCUUGAUGUCAUUAAUUUGGUGUCUUGGGAAAUCAGGACUGUUACUUUGAAAAAAUUAGAGUGUUUAAAGCAGGCUCACGCUUGAAUACAUUAGCAUGGAAUAAUGAAAUAGGACGUUUGAUUCUAUUUUGUUGGUUUCUAGGAUCGACGUAAUGAUUAAUAGGGAUAGUUGGUGGCAUUAGUAUUCAAUUGUCAGAGGUGAAAUUCUUGGAUUUAUUGAAGACUAACUACUGCGAAAGCAUUUGCCAAGGAUGUUUUCAUUAAUCAAGAACGAAAGUUAGAGGUUCGAAGGCGAUCAGAUACCGCCCUAGUUCUAACCAUAAACGAUGCCAACCAGCGAUUAGCCUGAGUUCCUUAAAUGACUCGGCUAGCAGCUUCCG